Molecule: transfer RNA, 73 nt
Filed under: Camelus ferus (Wild Bactrian camel)
Lineage: Eukaryota; Metazoa; Chordata; Mammalia; Artiodactyla; Camelidae
Rfam family: tRNA
About the family: Transfer RNA (tRNA) molecules are approximately 80 nucleotides in length. Their secondary structure includes four short double-helical elements and three loops (D, anti-codon, and T loops).
Source: Rfam by way of RNAcentral
GAGGGUAUAGCUCAGUGGUAGAGUGGGUGCUUAGCAUAGACGAGGGUCCUGGGUUCAAUCCCCAGUACCUCUG